This 477-nucleotide ribosomal RNA is filed under the name uncultured bacterium. Its description in RNAcentral is "partial 16S ribosomal RNA". It matches the Rfam family "Bacterial small subunit ribosomal RNA", at positions 29 to 507 of the family's 1533-position model. The record is from RNAcentral.
ACGAACGCUGGCGGCGUGCUUAACACAUGCCAGUCGAACGGGAUUUAGUAAACAGACGCCUCGGUGGAAGAUUACUAAUGAGAGUGGCGAACGGGUGAGUAACGCGUGAGCAACCUGCCUAUGACAGUGGGAUAGCCUCGGGAAACCGGGAUUAAUACCGCAUAAAAUCGUAGAAACACAUGUUUUAACGGUCAAAGAUUUAUCGGUCAUAGAUGGGCUCGCGUCUGAUUAGCUAGUUGGUGAGAUAACAGCCCACCAAGGCGACGAUCAGUAGCCGGUCUGAGAGGAUGAACGGCCACAUUGGAACUGAGACACGGUCCAAACUCCUACGGGAGGCAGCAGUGGGGAAUAUUGCACAAUGGGGGAAACCCUGAUGCAGCGACGCCGCGUGAACGAAGAAGGUAUUCGUAUCGUAAAGUUCUGUCCUAUGGGAAGAUAAUGACAGUACCAUAGAAGAAAGCUCCGGCUAAAUACGUG